UCUCUCACGCGGACAAGACGCUGCCAUGGCGGCCCCGAGGACGAUGAGAGCCGUGCAGUACGACAAGUAUGGCGGUGGAGCUGAAGGCCUCAAGCAUGUGGAGGUGCCGGUGCCGUCGCCGAAGAAAGGCGAGGUGCUGCUGAAGAUGGAGGCGGCCAGCAUCAACCCCAUCGACUAGAAGAUCCAGAAGGGCAUGCUCCGCCCCUUCCUCCCCGGCGAGUUCCCCUUCACGCCAGGUACCUAGCUUCAGACUGAGAAAUGGCCACCCAAUUCAGACUUGGUUGCGGCAAUAUUCGCCAAAUAGAGAUGAAAAUCGUGUGAUACCGGCCGGCUUGAUAGCUGAUAAAAUCUCCUCGAUGUCAUUUGGCUAGUGAUUAUGAUCUCGCCCCUUGUCAUAACUAACAUGCUAUGUUUUCUAAAAUCUGUACCAAUUCAAGCACCUAUUGCAGAUUUUUGACAUAACGACUUGAACAUUGCCAGUCCAUCGCCACCCGCGCACGACUUGGAUUCUGCACGUCGCCGCCACUGGAUGCAGUCUACUAGCUCACCUCCGCCACCAUACCUCCUCACCUCUGCCAUCGACAGUCGCCACUGUACUCGAGGUCUCCUGUACAUGCCAUGGCCAGGGGCCCCAACCCCUUAUGCUACCGGAUCCUGGGGUCGCCGCUGGACCCGUCGCCAUCAGCCUCCCUGACCUUCUCUGGUUGCCUGGACAGGACUGCCCUUGCCAUUGAGCGUAACCAGUGCAUGUAUUUCGUCCACGACCAAGCCACUGUGCUCAUCUUCAGUUCCGCGUCCACCAUUUGCAUAACAGUAGCGGUAUGUUGAUGUUCAGAGCACAUGUUCUGUUGAAAAGAUUUCCCAUUUGCCUAAUUAUAUUGCAAUCCUGCAAGUCUAUGAGCCAUGCUCUGAACUGUGAACAUAUACUGAUAAUACAAGUUACUUGGUGCACUAUCAAGGUUCAGGAAAAGGAUGCAGGCUUCCACACGGUGCCUGAAAAAUGCCACUUUCCCAAUCUCGUCUCCGUCCGAGCACGAAGCCGCCGCUGCCCGUCAAUGCUUGGUCAACGACCGACCGAACAACUCUUCCCUCUCCACCACGAGAAGUUCGUCACCUCACGUGCGAGCAGUCCAUCUAUCACCUCCCGCGCAAGCACUCCAUCACCUCACACAGUGUCCGUUCGACAAAGUUUGUCCUUUUGAAGAAGCAGAAAAUGGAGUUUGAAGCAGCCGCGGGCGGGUGGUGGUGUGGUUGCAGAAGAAGAAUCGCUGGUGCAAACUCGUCCAUCUGGCGCUAGCAUACCAGUAUGAUUUGGAGGCGAAGAAUUUGUUGUGUCUCUUACCAUGAAUCCCUAUAGCUAUGGAAACUUGGCUUCCUAUAAAUUUUUAAGAUAUAUCGCUGGCACUUUGUUCCCCAAGUGUGUUUGCAUUAAUGCGUGAGAGGAAACAAUUCUGGGUAAGUAUUCACCUGCGAUUUUCCUAUGCUUUGCACUGCUACGUACAUAGUUUGAAAAUGUAGUUUUGGAGUCCAAUAUGGCUCCAGGUUGAAGUUUGAUGCAUUGCACGUGAUUGUUGUACAUUAUAUCCUACUAUAAAUGCA
This is a long non-coding RNA of Aegilops tauschii subsp. strangulata, 1599 nucleotides long. RefSeq lists it as uncharacterized. Lineage: Eukaryota; Viridiplantae; Streptophyta; Magnoliopsida; Poales; Poaceae. The record is from RefSeq and is a predicted model, not a curated record.